UGGUGAGCCCGCAGGGAUUCGAACCCUGGACCCCAAGAUUAAAAGUCUCGUGCUCUACCAACUGAGCUACGGGCUC
This 76-nucleotide transfer RNA is filed under the name Acidiphilium sp. PM. Its description in RNAcentral is "tRNA-Lys". Lineage: Bacteria; Pseudomonadati; Pseudomonadota; Alphaproteobacteria; Acetobacterales; Acidocellaceae. The record is from RNAcentral.